CAGCGUGUUAAGCGGUUCAUAGGUACUGCAGUAACGUCAGUUUCGGGUAAAGACAGAAUAGGUUGUCCUAUUAAAAAAUGGCCGGGGGUUAAUGCGAGUAGAUCAUGAGUAGAUCUGCUGAAGCUUGUAUCAGAGGACGAGAAUUGAGUAUACCUUCGAUACGAAUUACUUACGUUUCCAUUUCUUCAUAGGUUAGUACUUGAAUACCAAUAACUCGUUUUAAAUGGUGUUUUACACUUUUAAUGCCAGCCUCUCAUAUUCCACCCAUAUGAGGGGGGGCGGGAGGAUUGAAGUGUCAAUUACAUGGGAUUCGUGCGAUCAUUGCGUUUUGUACGGCCUCAUUCGCAAAAAGAGAUUUUAAUUGACGCGACGCUCCAAUAUAAUUGCUACCGCAAUCGCUAUAUAAGUUUAACAGAAUUCCCCGACGAGCUACAAAUCAGUCAAGGGCGGCAAGAAAAAUGUCCGAAGUUAAAUCUGAAACAAUUUCAAUGUGUAGUGCAUUUACGGCCAUGCAAAUAAAAAGAGCUAUGUAUACUUUGGUGGUUUUAGUGUUGCGAUGGAUAUGAUUGAACAACGCUAUUUCAAGUUUUAUACUUUUAUUUAGAUGCCAAUAUAACUCUUCAAGAAUCACGUAAGUGAUUGAAUAAAGAAUUUUAAAUUUUACUUUUAAUAAUUGUCUCUGAAUAACAUAUUGGGUAGAUUUAAUAUUAGAUAUUUUAAUAAAUAUAUCGCUAAUUCAUUGUUUAAUUUUUUUUUAGAUGAAAAUACAACUUCUCUAGAUAUAAAUGACAAUACGACUCCUCAAAAUACAAGUGAUGAUUAAGAAAUACAACUCAAAUAGCAAAUUAAAAAAGGAUAAUAUUUCAUAAUUGUUCUACUAUAAUUUUGUAAAAGUUAUUUGUGAAAUAAGUUUAUUUUCAACCACUUUUUAAUUAGUCUAAAAUAACAUUUUAUUAAAUAUAUUGUAUUAUUAUUAAUUAACAAUUUAAAGUAAAAAUCAUAAAAAAAUGUUUAAAAUUGUUUAUUAAGAAUUUUAUUUAAGUGUUAUAACAGUAAAAUUAUAAAAUAGUAUUGUGGAAAUGAUGUAUAAAUAAUUAAGAAAUAAA
Daktulosphaira vitifoliae (grape phylloxera) is the source of this 1106-nucleotide long non-coding RNA. RefSeq lists it as uncharacterized. The transcript is spliced from 4 exons. The record is from RefSeq and is a predicted model, not a curated record. NCBI's taxonomy places the organism in Eukaryota, Metazoa, Arthropoda, Insecta, Hemiptera, Phylloxeridae.